GAUGAAGAACGCAGCGAAAUGCGAUACGUAAUGUGAAUUGCAAAUUCAGUGAAUCAUCGAAUCUUUGAACGCACAUUGCGCCCGCUAGUAUUCUGGCGGGCAUGCCUGUUCGAGCGUCAUUUCAACCAUCAAGCCCUUUAGCUUGUGUUGGGGACCUGCGGCUGCCGCAGCCCCCGAAAUGCAGUGGCGGGCUCGUUGUCACACCGAGUGCAGUAAUCAUUCUUCUCUCCGGGCGUGGCGGCGGGUUCCGGCCGUAAAAUCACCAAUUUAUCAAGGUUGACCUCGGAUCAGGUAGGAAUACCCGCUGAACUUAAGCAUAUCAAUAAGCGGAGGA
Molecule: unclassified non-coding RNA, 334 nt
Filed under: soil metagenome
Description: partial contains 5.8S ribosomal RNA, internal transcribed spacer 2, and large subunit ribosomal RNA
Rfam family: 5.8S ribosomal RNA (bases 1-119)
Source: RNAcentral